This 81-nucleotide transfer RNA is filed under the name Ixodes scapularis (black-legged tick). It matches the Rfam family "tRNA". Rfam says of the family: Transfer RNA (tRNA) molecules are approximately 80 nucleotides in length. Lineage: Eukaryota; Metazoa; Arthropoda; Arachnida; Ixodida; Ixodidae. The record is from Rfam by way of RNAcentral.
GCAGUCGUGGCCGAGUGGUUAAGGCGAUGGACUACAAAUGCUUUGGGGCUCCCCGCACUGGUUCGAAUCCUUGCAACUGCA